UUACAAUCAAGAGAUGGCGUUAAUUCGAUCCGAAAGAUUAACAUGGCCGUGAAACGUCUAUGAGUAUGUAUGGUUUGUGGUAUUUAUCUAAACAAUCAUCCUACAAGAUUCUUUCAAAAAUUUUCAUUCAACUCAAUUACACAUCAGUGCUUUCACGUGACACAUGGCAGUAGUGUUUAUAUCAUUUUGAAAACAAAUUGGAACAUUUGAAGUUUUCAGUAAAACAUUGAAUUGUC
Diabrotica virgifera virgifera (western corn rootworm) is the source of this 236-nucleotide long non-coding RNA. RefSeq lists it as uncharacterized. Lineage: Eukaryota; Metazoa; Arthropoda; Insecta; Coleoptera; Chrysomelidae. The record is from RefSeq and is a predicted model, not a curated record. The transcript is spliced from 2 exons.